RNAcentral lists this ribosomal RNA (150 nucleotides) under Sus scrofa (pig). RNAcentral's name for it is "5.8S ribosomal RNA (ENSSSCG00070013351.1)". It matches the Rfam family "5.8S ribosomal RNA". From Rfam's summary of the family: 5.8S ribosomal RNA (5.8S rRNA) is a component of the large subunit of the eukaryotic ribosome. It is transcribed by RNA polymerase I as part of the 45S precursor that also contains 18S and 28S rRNA. The record is from RNAcentral. Lineage: Eukaryota; Metazoa; Chordata; Mammalia; Artiodactyla; Suidae.
GACUCUUGACGGUGAUCACUCGGCUCAUGCAUCAAUGAAGAACGAAGCUAGGUGCGAGAAUUAAUGUGAAUUGCAUGACACAUUGAUCAUCGACACUUCGAAUGCACUUGCGGCCCAGGUUCCUCCUAAUAACUAAAAGCUCUAGCGUGU